This 67-nucleotide transfer RNA is filed under the name Perlomyia isobeae. RNAcentral's name for it is "tRNA-His". The record is from RNAcentral. Lineage: Eukaryota; Metazoa; Arthropoda; Insecta; Plecoptera; Leuctridae.
AUUUGAAUAGUUUAUAAUAAAACGUUAACUUGUGGCGUUAAAAAUACAAUUGAAAUUGUUUUAGAUC